UCGUCAUCGUAGGGUUAGUCGGGACCUAAGUCGAGUCCGAAAGGGGUAGACGAUGGCAAAUUGAUUAAUAUUUCAAUACCAACAAAUAAGCGCGAUGUGGGGACGCAUAGAGUUAGUCGAGGUCACUGAUGGAAUAGUGGCUCGAAGGACGUAGGUUGUUACUUAGGCAAAUCCGGGUAACGUUAGACCGAGAUCUUACAGGCUCUUGAAGCUCUUCGGAGGUGAUAGAGAAUCGAUGAUACUGUCGUGCCAAGAAAAGCCACUAAGUAUAUUAUUUGUUGCCCGUACCGUAAACCGACACAGGUGGGUGAGAUGAGUAUUCUAAGGCGCGUGGAAGAACCCUGGUUAAGGAACUCUGCAAACUAGCACCGUAUCUUCGGUAUAAGGUGUGCCUACUUUGGUAUAUGGACUUGCUCCAAAAAGCUAAAGAGGUUGCAACAAAGAGUCCCUCCCGACUGUUUAC
Molecule: ribosomal RNA, 463 nt
Filed under: uncultured bacterium
Lineage: Bacteria
Description: bacterial LSU rRNA
Rfam family: Bacterial large subunit ribosomal RNA
Source: RNAcentral